RNAcentral lists this ribosomal RNA (2465 nucleotides) under marine metagenome. Its description in RNAcentral is "bacterial LSU rRNA". It matches the Rfam family "Bacterial large subunit ribosomal RNA", at positions 1 to 2491 of the family's 2925-position model. The record is from RNAcentral.
GGAAGUAUGUAAGAGCGCAGGGGGGAUGCCUUGGCUCUCAGAGGCGAUGAAGGACGUGAUAAGCUGCGAUAAGCUACGGGUAUUGGCACAUACGAUUUGAUCCGUAGAUUUCCGAAUGGGGUAACCUAUCUAAUUGAAGAUUAGAUAAUUCAAACUUGUUUGAAUAGCAAACCUGGUGAACUGAAACAUCUAAGUAACCAGAGGAAGAGAAAACAAUAGUGAUUUCCUUAGUAGUGGCGAGCGAAAAGGAAAUAGCCUAAACCUAUUAUGUUUCGGCAUAAUAGGGGUUGUAGGACCACAACAUCCGAUAUAAAAUGAACGAGAAUUUUUUGGAAAAUUAAGCCAUAGAUGGUGAAAGCCCAGUAUCGGUAAAUUUUAUUGAAGUAGUGGUAUCCUGAGUAGGACGGAACAGGUGAAAUUCCGUUUGAAUCUGCCGGCACCAUCCGGUAAGGCUAAAUACGACUGAGAGACCGAUAGUGAACUAGUACCGUGAGGGAAAGGUGAAAAGUACCCUGAAUAAGGGGGUGAAAUAGUACCUGAAACCUUGCGCUUACAAGCGGUCGGAGGUUCUUCGUGAACUGACGGCGUGCCUUUUGCAUAAUGAGCCUACGAGUUACUCUUCACUGGCAAGGUUAAAAAUUUAAGAUUUGGAGCCGGAGCGAAAGCGAGUCUUAACAGGGCGUUCAGUCAGUGGAGGUAGACGCGAAACCUAGUGAUCUACCCAUGGUCAGGGUGAAUUUGUGGUAAAACACAAUGGAGGCCCGAACCAGUAUACGUUGAAAAGUGUUUGGAUGAACUGUGGGUAGGGGUGAAAGGCCAAUCAAACUAGGAGAUAGCUCGUACUCCCCGAAAUGCUUUUAGGAGCAGCGUAAAUUUAUAAUCUAACAGAGGUAGAGCUACCGAUUGGACUAGGGGGAGUCAAAUCCUACCAAAUCCAGACGAACUCCGAAUGCUGUUAGAUGUUUUUUUGCAGUGAGGGCAUGGGUGCUAAGGUCCAUGUCCAAGAGGGAAACAACCCGGAUCCACAGCUAAGGUCCCUAAAUCUAUACUAAGUUGAUCUAAGGUAGUUCAGUUACUCAGACAGCCAGGAUGUUGGCUUGGAAGCAGCCAUUCAUUUAAAGAGUGCGUAACAGCUCACUAGUCGAGCGACAGAGCAUCAAUGAUAAUCGGGCAUAAAGUAUAGUACCGAAGCUUGGAACUCUACGGAGUGGUAGGGGAGCAUUCUAUUUGCAUUGAAGGAAAAUUGUAAGAUUUUCUGGAGCGUAUAGAAUAGAAAAUGUAGGCAUAAGUAACGAUAAUGCAGGUGAGAAACCUGCACACCGAAAGACUAAGGUUUCCUGAACAACGCUAAUCGGUUCAGGGUUAGUCGGGUCCUAAGGCGAACCCGAAUGGGGUAGUCGAUGGAUAAUCGGUUAAUAUUCCGAUACUACCAUUAUUAGUGAUGGAGUGACGAAGUAGUGAAAGAUCCGCGUACUGACGGAAUAGUACGUUGAAGCGAGUAGGUAUAGGUCUUGUUGGUAAAUCCGCAAGACUUGCUGAACGUGAUAGUACCACAAUCCUUCGGGAGAGUGGAUAGUGAUCCUAAUCAGACUUCCAAGAAAACCUUCUAAACUUAUGAUAAUGGUACCCGUACCAUAAACCGACACAGGUAGUCGAGGAGAGAAUCCUAAGGUGCUCGAGUGAUUCAUGGCUAAGGAACUAGGCAAAAUCGUCCUGUAACUUCGGGAGAAAGGACGCCUCCCUCUUUUAGAGGAGGCCGCAGUGAAAUGGCCCAGGCGACUGUUUAUCAAAAACACAUGGCAUUGCAAAUUCGUAAGAAAAAGUAUAAUGCCUGACACCUGCCCGGUGCUGGAAGGUUAAGGAGAGAUGUUAGAGGUUUACCUCAAAGCAUUGAACUGAAGCCCCAGUAAACGGCGGCCGUAACUAUAACGGUCCUAAGGUAGCGAAAUUCCUUGUCGGGUAAGUUCCGACCUGCACGAAUGGUGUAACGAUCUGGGCACUGUCUCAGCCAUGAGCUCGGUGAAAUUGUAGUAGCGGUGAAGAUGCCGCUUAAUCGCAACGGGACGGAAAGACCCCGUGAACCUUUACUACAGCUUUGUAUUGGUAUUGGGUAAAUAAUGUGUAGAAUAGGUGGGAGACUUUGAUCCUGCGUCGCUAGGCGUAGGUUAGUCAUUAGUGAAAUACCACCCUUUAUUUAUCUGAUACCUAACCCAAUUAUUUGGGGACAUUGCAUGGUGGGUAGUUUGACUGGGGUGGUCGCCUCCAAAAGAGUAACGGAGGCUUUCAAAGGUUCCCUCAGUACGUUUGGUAAUCGUACGUAGAGUGCAAUAGCAUAAGGGAGCUUGACUGUGAGGCCUACAAGCCGAUCAGGUAGGAAACUAGGAUAUAGUGAUCCGGCGGUUCCGCAUGGAAGGGCCGUCGCUCAAAGGAUAAAAGGUACUCCGGGGAUAACAGGCUGAUCUCCC